CGUCUAUAUACGUAUAGCAUAUCAAUAAGCGGAGGAAAAGAAACUAACAAGGAUUCCCUUAGUAACGGCGAGUGAAGCGGGAAGAGCUCAAAUUUGAAAUCUUCAAGGUUCUACCUUGACGAAUUGUAGUUUAAAGAAGUGUUUUCUGUUAGAGGAGUAGGCAAAAGUUCCUUGGAAUAGGGACAUCAUAGAGGGUGAGAAUCCCGUAUUUGGUUAUUCUUUCUAGCUGUGUGAUACACUUUCAAAGAGUCGGAUUGUUUGGGAAUGCAGUCCAAAAUGGGUGGUAAAUUUCAUCUAAAGCUAAAUAUUGGCGAGAGACCGAUAGCGAACAAGUACCGUGAGGGAAAGAUGAAAAGAACUUUGAAAAGAGAGUUAAACAGUACGUGAAAUUGUCAAAAGGGAAGCGUUUGACACCAGUGUUGUUUUUCCGAAAAUCAAUUAAGAGUGGCUUGAUUUUGUGUUGUAUUGACCUUAUCAGCUUUCUUCACUCUUUUUCGAGUCUUUCUUAAUGCACUUUUCGGUUAACAAGUCAACAUCAAUUUCUUUUGUUGUAAAAGGGUAUUUGGAAGGUGGCUUUCUUUUCGGAGAAAGUGUUUAUAGCCUUAUACCUCUACAAUCGGAGAGAUUGAGGUCUGCAGCGUAGAUCCUUCGGGGCUAGAUACACUUGUGCUAAGUUAUAGCUUUUCAUAGACAACUUGUUGACUAUGUUUAGUCAUGUAGCUUACCCGCUUGUGCUAUUUUACCUACGCUUAGGAUGUUGAGUCAUCACACAUCUCU
RNAcentral lists this ribosomal RNA (777 nucleotides) under uncultured Neocallimastigales. Its description in RNAcentral is "partial large subunit ribosomal RNA". It matches the Rfam family "Eukaryotic large subunit ribosomal RNA", at positions 26 to 618 of the family's 3401-position model. The record is from RNAcentral. Lineage: Eukaryota; Fungi; Neocallimastigomycota; Neocallimastigomycetes; Neocallimastigales.